UUCAGGCUGGAAGCGUUGAUGUGCUGCACUGCUAUUAUGCACAUGGAGAAGAAAAUGAAAAUUUCCAAAGGCGCAGUUAUUGGAUGCUUGAAGAGGCUCUGCAACACAUAGUUCUCGUCCACUACCGGGAAGUUAAGGUUCUAGGUCGAGAGAAGGACAUUUCAAUCCCUCUGGACUUAACAACAAUUCAACUUUUCCAACCAGAAGAAAA
Molecule: long non-coding RNA, 211 nt
Organism: Pyrus x bretschneideri (Chinese white pear)
Lineage: Eukaryota; Viridiplantae; Streptophyta; Magnoliopsida; Rosales; Rosaceae
Exons: 3
Source: RefSeq, a predicted model, not a curated record